Molecule: long non-coding RNA, 200 nt
Filed under: Medicago truncatula (barrel medic)
Lineage: Eukaryota; Viridiplantae; Streptophyta; Magnoliopsida; Fabales; Fabaceae
Description: long non-coding RNA (MTRU_LNC006147)
Source: RNAcentral
GCAAAAGUUAUGGUGCAUAAGCCAUAACUUAUGCACCAUGCAUAAGGUCUUCACAGCCAUCAGAUCAAUUGGACACUUGUAAUAAUCCUACGGUCUUCAGCUCAGANUGGUGCAUAAGCCAUAACUUAUGCACCAUGCAUAAGGUCUUCACAGCCAUCAGAUCAAUUGGACACUUGUAAUAAUCCUACGGUCUUCAGCUC